This 480-nucleotide ribosomal RNA is filed under the name uncultured bacterium. Its description in RNAcentral is "partial 16S ribosomal RNA". It matches the Rfam family "Bacterial small subunit ribosomal RNA", at positions 30 to 507 of the family's 1533-position model. The record is from RNAcentral.
AUUGAACGCUGGCGGCAGGCUUAACACAUGCUAGUCGAACGAUGACUCUCUAGCUUGCUAGAGAUGAUUAGUGGCGGACGGGUGAGUAACAUUUAGGAAUCUACCUAGUAGUGGGGGAUAGCUCGGGGAAACUCGAAUUAAUACCGCAUACGACCUACGGGUGAAAGGGGGCGCAAGCUCUUGCUAUUAGAUGAGCCUAAAUCAGAUUAGCUAGUUGGUGGGGUAAAGGCCCACCAAGGCGACGAUCUGUAACUGGUCUGAGAGGAUGAUCAGUCACACCGGAACUGAGACACGGUCCGGACUCCUACGGGAGGCAGCAGUGGGGAAUAUUGGACAAUGGGGGCAACCCUGAUCCAGCCAUGCCGCGUGUGUGAAGAAGGCCUUUUGGUUGUAAAGCACUUUAAGCAGGGAGGAGAGGCUAAUGGUUAAUACCCAUUAGAUUAGACGUUACCUGCAGAAUAAGCACCGGCUAACUCUGUG